GAAACAAAAGAACCCCUUAUCCCUCUUUUGCAGAAACCCUAGCGUCAAAAUCUCUUAGCCAAUCUCUAAGCCAAUUCCUUCUUCUUCCCUUCAAUGCACAGCGAUCUACAAGAAGUGAAGAAGUUUGUUCAGAGUAUGCCAAGACACUCUAUUUAGGUCAAUGAUGUUGCUUCAGUUGCACUCAUUCCAACUCCAGUUUCAGUUUCAACAAAUCCAAAGUGGCUACUGAACUCGCAUUAAAAUACAUUACACUUAGACCUUUCAGCUGGGAUCAAGAUACUGACAAAGUCAAGGGUAAUACCAACGGUUCUAGGAACAAAACCAGAAUUACUCAGACAAUUUAUGUGUUCUUUUGAACGAAGAUAGAAUCUUGAUUAUAAAAAAGAACUCCAAAUCUAAUGAAUCUGUAUGGUUUCUUGAGGUAAGUAUUCACAUUUAUUGAUCUUGAAAUGAUAGCGUUCAUUAGGUUUUAUUAGGUGGACACACAAUUUAGACGAGAACAAAAAAGUUUGAAACAAAAGUUGUUGCUUGGAGUAAGGGGUUAUUGGUAAUGCUGAGCGGCCCAUAGUAAUUAGUAGCCCGUGUAUGUCGGGUUUGUAAUAUGUCAAAAACGUUUUGUCAAGUGAUGGUUUGAUUUGAAUUCACUAAAUUUUAUGGUUUGCAAGUAUAUCAUGAAGAUAUGAAGAUGUUUUGAUGAUGAUACCAAGUUUAAACCACUAUAACUAAAUGAAAUUAUUCUGACUUAUUUAGAGAUGUAUGAACAAUUUAUAUAUUUUGUUUAAAAAUUAUGUGUAUUUAAUUUUCAACUUAUUUAAGUUAAUAUAUUUUAUUUCACUUGAUUAUAAAUUAAAGCUGUAUAAUAUUUUCAUUUGUUAAACCGCGUGUGUACGCGGGCUCUAACCUAGUAUAUAUUAAACCAUAUCAUGUUAGCUACAUGAGCUUUUUUAUAUUUGUUUUUAGCUAUAAUUUUUUUUUAACUUUUUUUGUUUUACCACUAAAGUAUCACAUGUUUGCUAUAUGUAUUAUAUAAAUAAAUAUCAUAAAAUAAUAAUACACUCUUAUAUCAAAUCUUUUCGGCUUUAGAUAUUUAUGAUGAUUAUUAUUGGUGAAACAUAAGUGGUUAAAACUUAAAAAUUUAAUUUAUUUUGAUUUUACGUCAUCUAUAUUAUUUUUUUACACUUCUAUUUAUUGAACCGUUUAUUGUAUAUUAAAUAACAUCACAAAAAUAAUUAUAGCCGCUACAUUGUUUUUUUUUUUUUUGAGUUUUUUUAUGUUUGUUUUUUAGCUACAAUUUUUUUUUUUUUUUGAUUUACCAGUAAAGUAUCACAUGUUUGCUAUAUGUAUUAUAUAAAUAAAUAUCAUAAAAUAAUAAUACACUCUUAUAUCAAAUUUUUUCGGCUUUAUAUUUUUUAUGAUCAUUAUUAUUAUUGGUGAAACAUAAGUGGUUAAAAAUUAAAAAUAUUAAUUUAUUUUGCUUUUACGUCGUCUAUACUUAUAUUUAUUAAACCGUUUAUUUUAUAUUAAAUAAUAUCACAAAAAUAACUAUAGCCACUAUAUUGUUUUUUUUUAAAGUUAUUUUUUAUGUUUGCUUUUUAGCUACAACUUGUUUUUACUUUAUUGUUUUACCACUAAAGUAUCACAUGUUUGCUAUAUGUAUUAUAUAAAUAAAUAUCACAAAAUAAUAAUACACUCUUAUAUCAAAUCUUUUCGAUUUUAGAUUUUUUAUGAUCGUUAUUAUCGGUGAAACAUAAGUAGUUAAAAAUUAAAAAUGUUAAUUUAUUUUGAUUUACAUCGUCUAUAUUAUUUUUUUACACUUCUAUUUAUUAUACCGUUUAUUUUAUAUUAGAUAACAUCACAAAAAUAACUAUAGCCGCUACAUUGUUUUUUUUUUAAGUUUCAAAUCAAUGCUUAUACAAUAAAUAAUAUACGCUUUUAGCCAAUAAUUUCAUUUUUAUCUUAUAACUUUCGGAUGUCAGCUUUUUUAGAAAAAAACUAAAUAAGCGAUGUGAAUUCUUAUGAAAACGGCGCAAUUUGGGUCGCUACAUCACGUCACCACAUGUUUCUUUUAAUUGCUAUAAUUUAUUUUGUUUUUGUUGUUACAUUUAUAUAUUGCAACUUCGUAGAGUUUGGUUCGUCCAAAGAUUUCACACCAUGCGAUGGGAAAAUCCUAAUUAAGGUUUAAACAUUGGGAUUUUUGUGGGUGAACAAUAAAUCGAAAAUUCCAUUCCUUAAAUGAGAUUGUUGGUGUAAUUUUUAAUUUUUGUAAUCCGUCCCGUACAUUUAUAUAAUAUCAAUUUGAAACACAUGUUGGCAUCAAGGGUUGUAUUAUAUAUUUCAUGGGUUGUACUUAACAUAUGUUGACAUCAAGGGUUAUACCAUAAGUUUGAUGAGUUGUACUUAUAUUUUUGUU
This 2410-nucleotide long non-coding RNA is filed under the name Helianthus annuus (common sunflower). RNAcentral's name for it is "hypothetical non coding rna". Lineage: Eukaryota; Viridiplantae; Streptophyta; Magnoliopsida; Asterales; Asteraceae. The record is from RNAcentral.